This 989-nucleotide long non-coding RNA is filed under the name Homo sapiens (human). RNAcentral describes it as "non-protein coding LINC01202:11". The record is from RNAcentral. Lineage: Eukaryota; Metazoa; Chordata; Mammalia; Primates; Hominidae.
GUUUCCUUCUGCUUGGAAGAUCCUUUCUGUUUUGUCAGCUCUUACUUCCAUGUUGUGGAAAACUGAUCUGACCUCCUAGUCCUGAAUCAGGGGCCAUAAAGAAAAUUGAUGAGGACAACUGGCCUCCCAGUAUGUGGAUUCAGUUUCCAUAUGUCAAUUUACCAACUCCCACUGGUAGUCUGAAGAGAUAUGGCUACUGGAGAACAGAAAAUCACCAGUAUUAAUAAAAGCAAUUUUAAGUGUUUACCUUUUAGUAUUUGAAUAGCUUUGUUAAAGAGACGUACUCAAGAAUACUAUGAAGAGACUCUUAUUGUACUCCUUACCUGGAGAUAAUUGUGAUGCCAGAAAUUCAAAUUUAUAUUCAACAAUAUGGUUUUUCAACCAUCAAUAUUAUAAACAUCUAGGCAGUGUCUAUUGUUUGCGCAUUUGCCAUCCUCUAAAAUGAGAUUAUUCUAAGCAUAAAUUAUACUUCAUCAUUCAAGAUUAUAAACAUUUAUAAUAAUCAUAAUAUUCACAGACAUUUCCCUGCUCUCAAAUCACUAGAGCUAAUAGGCAAAGUAGAUACAGCUACAAACAGUGGGAGAAAAUAUUUCUGGCUGACCUACAAAUAGCUGUGCAAUAAUGUAGAGAGGAAAAUAUAGUCUCACUUACAGUGUCUGAAAUUGAGUUUCCCUCUUUAAAGGACAAAGUAAUUUUCAAAAAUAUUUGAGUAUUAUUCUGUGUAAAAAAUCUCUGUUUUAACUGGCUUAUUGAAUUGUAUUUCUUUAUUGUGUUUGUAUUCACUUUUCCAUUUGUGGGUGGAAUUUAUUAUAAUUACCAGUUUUAUACUGAAUGAAACAAAAAUCUCAUAGAUUUAAUAAAACUUUAAAUUCCUUGUCAUUAAUAAUAAAAUGUAUAUGCUUUCUCUAAUAAGUCCAUACUUUAUUGUUUAAAACCUGUUUUUCCUCUUUCUCAAGCACAUGGAUUGUUAAUUUAAAUUCUGAAAUAAA